Molecule: RNA transcript, 2197 nt
Organism: Oryzias melastigma (Indian medaka)
Lineage: Eukaryota; Metazoa; Chordata; Actinopteri; Beloniformes; Adrianichthyidae
Gene: soat2
Gene name: sterol O-acyltransferase 2
Exons: 18
Source: RefSeq, a predicted model, not a curated record
GAGCCAAAAGGACAAAGUUCAAAAUCAACAGAGGAAAAGUACACAGAUCACAGUGACACACAUCUGCUGACACGAACAGCAGCGUUCUGUCAGAGGGACUGGGCGGCUGAAACUGUCUGUCAUCCAGCAGACUGGGAACUAGCAGCAGUGCUGCUGAGAAUAAGCAGACCCUUUCAUGUGCAGGACUUGAUUUCUAGUUCUCGGACCAAUCCGUUUCAGCGCAGCGGUAACCAUGACGACUGCAGAGCAACCGAAUGGGCUAAGACAACGGCAAACCAAGACCUGUCAGUCAGAGGAUAACUCCAGCCAUGUUGGGAAACAAGACGAUGAGCUGGAUAAAGAAUAUAAGAAGUGGAAAACAUAUUCUCAGAAGGUAAAGGUGAAAGUUCUGGAGCAAAUCCAGGAUCAACUCGGUGAGAUUCUGGACCGAGCUUUGACCGAGUCCUUUCAACCUCCUGCUCACCUGAAGACCUCAGCUACGGGGAAGAAACUGAAUAAACACUCUGGAUCUCAGAGGAUGGACGAUGGGAAAGUGUUUGUGGCACGAGCAUCACUGCUGGAUGAACUGUUUGAGAUCAGCCACAUCCAUACCAUUUACCACAUGUUUGUAGCCGUGCUUCUCAUCUUCUGCUUGAGCACCCUCGCAGUGGACUACAUUGACCAGGGCAGGCUGGUCUUGGAGUUCGACUUGUUGUUCUUUGCCUUUGGGAAGCUGUGGACCGUGACCUGGGUUUGGGCCGUUAUGUUCCUUUAUACGUUGUCAGUUCCCUUCUACACCCUGAUGUUUUGGGGCUCCUUGUACCACAACUCCCGCUCUAAGUUGGGGUUGUCUCUGAGCACAGGGCUGAUCCUAGUCGCUGUACAGACUUGCAUACUGGGAGUGUUCCCAGUCUACAUGGUUGUCUAUCACCAGUUGCCUCCUGCCUCACGUUUUAUCGUGAUUCUGGAACAGAUUCGAUUUCUGAUGAAAGCCUACUCAUUUAUCAGAGAGGUGGUUCCUGUUAUACUGAAGAGCACGCCAAAGAAGGGUGAAACUUCUAGAUUUCCAACAUUUUCCAGUUAUCUGUACUUCCUCUUCUGUCCAACACUCAUCUUCAGGGAAUCUUAUCCUCGAAACAGCCAUAUUCGAUGGAAGUAUGUCUUUGUCACAUUUGGCAAGAUUUUGGGAUGCCUGUUUUAUGGAUACUUCAUCCUGGUGCGUCUUUGCAUACCAGUCUUCAGAUCGGAGACAAACCAGCCCUUCAGUAAAAGGACAAUGGUUCUGGCUGUGUUCAACUCCAUCUUACCAGGAAUCAUGCUGCUGCUGCUCUGCUUUUUUGCCUUCCUGCACUGCUGGCUGAACCUCUUUGGGGAGCUGCUGCGUUUUGCUGACAGAAUGUUCUAUAAGGACUGGUGGAACUCAACAUCCUUUGCCAACUAUUAUCGCACCUGGAAUGUGGUGGUUCACGACUGGCUGUAUUACUACGGAUACAGAGACUUCCUCUGGCUGUCAAAAAAAAGAUUUCGAGCAGCUGCCAUGCUCUCCGUGUUCAUCGUCUCUGCUGUCGUCCACGAGUACGCCUUAGCCAUGGGAUUCGGCUUCUUUUAUCCCGUCAUGUUCUGUCUCUUUGCAGUCUUUGGAGUCUUAUUCAACUUUACCAUGAACGACAAACGUCAAAGUCCAGUAUUUAAUGUCAUCAUGUGGGCGUGUCUCUUCCUGGGUCAGGGAGUCCAGGUGUGUCUGUACUGCCAGGAGUGGUACGCCCAGAUACACUGUCCACGGACCGGGGAUAGUUUCUGGGAGAUUGUGCUGCCUCGAUCCUGGUCCUGCAGCUACCAGACAUGAAGCUGCCCGUCAUCAGCAGGAGGAGUCAACGGACAAAAAAAAAACAGACCGAAAAGUUGCUUCCAGAAGUAAAGAUUUCUGUGGGCUGAAACGAGAUGCUUCGAUCACAUGACGACAGCGGGGAAAAGAAUCAGCAGACUCCUUUAACCCAACAGUCAUCCGGCUGUCUCAGGAAGUCCCCAGGCCUGAAGAACGGUUUUGCCGUGUCGUGGACUGCCCCCUACCACCAACACCAACUAGGCUCUGGGGGUUUAUCCAUCUGAGCUUAUCCACCAGGAUAAAGAUCCUCCCAGAGAAUUACCGCCAAAAGACUAUAGACUAUUUCAUGUACAUUUUUGUAUCACAAAUAAAUCCGUAUCUGCAUUUCUAAAA